GACGAACGCUGGCAGCGUGCUUAACACAUGCAAGUCGAACGGUAAGGCCCUUCGGGGUACACGAGUGGCGAACGGGUGAGUAACACGUGGGUGAUCUGCCCUGCACUUCGGGAUAAGCCUGGGAAACUGGGUCUAAUACCGGAUAGGACCACUGCCUGCAUGGGUGGUGGUGGAAAGCUUUUGCGGUGUGGGAUGGGCCCGCGGCCUAUCAGCUUGUUGGUGGGGUGAUGGCCUACCAAGGCGGCGACGGGUAGCCGGCCUGAGAGGGUGACCGGCCACACUGGGACUGAGAUACGGCCCAGACUCCUACGGGAGGCAGCAGUGGGGAAUAUUGCACAAUGGGCGCAAGCCUGAUGCAGCGACGCCGCGUGAGGGAUGACGGCCUUCGGGUUGUAAACCUCUUUCAGCACCGACGAAGCGCAAGUGACGGUAGGUGCAGAAGAAGGACCGGCCAACUACGUGCCAGCCGCCGCCGAA
Molecule: ribosomal RNA, 477 nt
Filed under: uncultured bacterium
Lineage: Bacteria
Description: partial 16S ribosomal RNA
Rfam family: Bacterial small subunit ribosomal RNA
Source: RNAcentral